UGCCAGACUCCUUAAGUGUACACCAGGAC
RNAcentral lists this non-coding RNA (29 nucleotides) under Rattus norvegicus (Norway rat). Lineage: Eukaryota; Metazoa; Chordata; Mammalia; Rodentia; Muridae. The record is from RNAcentral.